UUCCACACCCCCGUCCUCCCCCAUCCCGUCCCGUCGCACCACGUCCCCCGUCUCUCGCUUCUCCCCGGCCAAACGCCGCCGCCACCUCCGCCAAGCCUACCACGCCCCCAUUCCCUCCCCGCCCGCCGCCUGCAGGUUCUCCUCCCCGCUCGCCGCUGCCUCCUCGCUCCUCACUGCCCCGCGGUCGCCCCCCCCUGGCUCCUUGCCGCCCGCCUCGAAAGACGGUUAGGCGCAGCGGCAAGCAGGCCUCGUCGGUCUUGGCGACGACCGCAACGGUCUCGAUACUUGGGAGGCGGUGGAGGGCGACCUACUCAGACAGCGAGAGCAGGACGUUGUGGCUGGCACUGGCCUCCGUCGCGGAGGGCGGGGAGCAGGAGCGGGAGCGCGGCGGAGACCUUGGUGACGACGACGCUGCAGGAGUGUGGAGAAUCAAGGCGCUAGAGGAUUCCGGUGGGCGGAUGGAUUAGGACAGCGAUGGUCGAUGGAGAACAUGGGCGUUGCUGUCCGAGCACAUCUCAAGGGAUGGAAGUUUGUAUACUUGAAUGAUGUUGAGGUGCUGGUACAAAAUUCCCUCUGGCUUAUGCACAAUAUGCGUUGCAUAGAGAUUAAAGAGUAACCAUUUAGUUUGUGUGACUUCCUUUCAGUCUCAAUGUGGUGGACAUGUAAAAUCACUUGCCAGUCACUUAAAGCAUACAUAAAGUAGCAGCACCGGUGACACUCAGGUCCCAUGUAACUAUUUAGACUCUGCUUUGUGGACAUUGUAAAAUCUAAGUGUGCAUGCCUUUUCCUAUAGGCACAUGUAACAUAUGAAGUUUGUUGUCUUUUUUUGUCACAUUGGAUCAAGUUGUAAUCUCUACUACUCCCUCGAUCCAAAUAAGGGUCUCAUAUUUAGUAAACUUUGCACUAAAUCUUGGACUUAUUAUGGAUCGGAUGGAGUACUUCUUAAUUCAUAUGCUUCUCUUC
Long non-coding RNA from Brachypodium distachyon (stiff brome), 963 nucleotides. RefSeq lists it as uncharacterized. NCBI's taxonomy places the organism in Eukaryota, Viridiplantae, Streptophyta, Magnoliopsida, Poales, Poaceae. The transcript has 2 exons. The record is from RefSeq and is a predicted model, not a curated record.